CGCGUCUUGACGGGGUGCUGGUCUGCCUUUGAUGAAAACGGGCAGCCGGCUGAGAUUGCAUCGCAGAACCCGCGACCUGAUCCGGAUAAUACCGGCGUAGGGAUUUAAGACCACUGUGCUG
RNAcentral lists this non-coding RNA (121 nucleotides) under Marinobacter sp. Its description in RNAcentral is "TPP sequence". It matches the Rfam family "TPP riboswitch aptamer (THI element)". Rfam says of the family: Vitamin B(1) in its active form thiamin pyrophosphate (TPP) is an essential coenzyme that is synthesised by coupling of pyrimidine and thiazole moieties in bacteria. The record is from RNAcentral. Lineage: Bacteria; Pseudomonadati; Pseudomonadota; Gammaproteobacteria; Pseudomonadales; Marinobacteraceae.